UGGGGAAUUUUGGACAAUGGGCGAAAGCCUGAUCCAGCAAUGCCGCGUGUGUGAAGAAGGCCUUCGGGUUGUAAAGCACUUUUGUCCGGAAAGAAAUCCUUGGCUCUAAUACAGUCGGGGGACGACGGUACCGGAAGAAUAAGCACCGGCUAACUACGUGCCAGCAGCCGCGGUAAUACGUAGGGUGCAAGCGUUAAUCGGAAUUACUGGGCGUAAAGCGUGCGCAGGCGGUUUGCUAAGACCGAUGUGAAAUCCCCGGGCUCAACCUGGGAACUGCAUUGGUGACUGGCAGGCUAGAGUAUGGCAGAGGGGGGUAGAAUUCCACGUGUAGCGGUGAAAUGCGUAGAGAUGUGGAGGAAUACCGAUGGCGAAGGCAGCCCCCUGGGCCAAUACUGACGCUCAUGCACGAAAGCGUGGGGAGCAAACAGGAUUAGAUACCCUGGUAGUCCACGCCCUAAAACGAUGUCAACUAGUUGUUGGGGAUUCAUUUCCUUAGUAACGUAGCUAACGCGUGAAGUUGACCGCCUGGGGAGUACGGUCGC
This 542-nucleotide ribosomal RNA is filed under the name uncultured bacterium. Its description in RNAcentral is "partial 16S ribosomal RNA". It matches the Rfam family "Bacterial small subunit ribosomal RNA", at positions 355 to 889 of the family's 1533-position model. The record is from RNAcentral.